UUGAACGCUGGCGGCAUGCCUUACACAUGCAAGUCGAACGGCAGCACGGGUGCUUGCACCUGGUGGCGCGUGGCGAACGGGUGAGUAAUACAUCGGAACAUGUCCUGUAGUGGGGGAUAGCCCGGCGAAAGCCGGAUUAAUACCGCAUACGAUCUACGGAUGAAAGCGGGGGACCUUCGGGCCUCGCGCUAUAGGGUUGGCCGAUGGCUGAUUAGCUAGUUGGUGGGGUAAAGGCCUACCAAGGCGACGAUCAGUAGCUGGUCUGAGAGGACGACCAGCCACACUGGGACUGAGACACGGCCCAGACUCCUACGGGAGGCAGCAGUGGGGAAUUUUGGACAAUGGGCGAAAGCCUGAUCCAGCAAUGCCGCGUGUGUGAAGAAGGCCUUCGGGUUGUAAAGCACUUUUGUCCGGAAAGAAAUCCUUGGCCCUAAUACGGUCGGGGGAUGACGGUACCGGAAGAAUAAGCACCGGCUAACUACGUG
Molecule: ribosomal RNA, 485 nt
Filed under: uncultured bacterium
Lineage: Bacteria
Description: partial 16S ribosomal RNA
Rfam family: Bacterial small subunit ribosomal RNA
Source: RNAcentral